RNAcentral lists this long non-coding RNA (208 nucleotides) under Phoenix dactylifera (date palm). Its description in RNAcentral is "long non-coding RNA (PDAC_LNC022666)". Lineage: Eukaryota; Viridiplantae; Streptophyta; Magnoliopsida; Arecales; Arecaceae. The record is from RNAcentral.
AGAGGUUGAGAGAAAGAGGGCUCGAAGGAUCCCUUGUCAUCGUCGGAGGGAUGGAAUUGUAGACCCUAUGGCAUUAGGGCCAAGAGAGAGCGGGAUGAGGCGUACCUAUGAUGCCGGGGAGGGAAAGAGGAUGAGCGUCGAGUCUCAAUGAGGUGACGAGAUGUCGCGAGUGCUAGUGGGAACUAUUCCACGAUCGCGAGUGGUGUGG